RNAcentral lists this ribosomal RNA (119 nucleotides) under Pteropus alecto (black flying fox). Lineage: Eukaryota; Metazoa; Chordata; Mammalia; Chiroptera; Pteropodidae. The record is from RNAcentral.
GUCUACAGUCAUGCCACCCUGAACGUGCCCGAUCUCGUCUGAUCUCGGAAGCUAAGCAGGGUUGGGUCUGGUUAGUACUUGGAUGGGAGACUGUCUAGGAAUACCAGGUGCUGUAGGUG